CCUACGGGAGGCAGCAGUGGGGAAUAUUGGGCAAUGGGCGCAAGCCUGACCCAGCAACGCCGCGUGAAGGAAGAAGGCUUUCGGGUUGUAAACUUCUUUUGUUAGGGAAGAGUAGAAGACGGUACCUGACGUAUAAGCUACGGCUAACUACGUGCCAGCAGCAGCGGUAAUACGUAGGUGGCAAGCGUUGUCCGGAUUUACUGGGUGUAAAGGGCGUGUAGCCGGGCUGACAAGUCAGAUGUGAAAUCUUGCGGCUUAACCGCAGAACUGCAUUUGAAACUGUUUUUCUUGAGUAUCGGAGAGGUAAGCGGAAUUCGUGGUGUAGCGGUGAAAUGCGUAGAUAUUAGGAAGAACACCAGUGGCGAAGGCGGAUUACUGGACGGCAACUGACGGUGAGGCGCGAAAGCGUGGGGAGCAAACAGGAUUAGAUACCCGGGUAGUC
RNAcentral lists this ribosomal RNA (442 nucleotides) under uncultured bacterium. RNAcentral's name for it is "partial 16S ribosomal RNA". It matches the Rfam family "Bacterial small subunit ribosomal RNA", at positions 338 to 795 of the family's 1533-position model. The record is from RNAcentral.